GUUUACCGCACCCGCUGGGGGACUGCUCCUGCCGCUGGGCCUUCCGCAGGGGCCGAGUUCUCCCAGUCAAAUCCCCGUUGCCCAGAACCUGUCCAGCGCCGCUCCCGCUGUGCGGGGUCGGUGGAUGAGGCCCGAGAGGACGGGGUCCCGGUGCUCCCAGGUCCGUGUGAGGCCCGUCCCUGCCGAGCGCGGCAGCGCGCUGCUGCCAGGAGCCCCAUCCUGGGCCGGGAGCGGGAAAGAGGUGAGGGCUUGGCAUGCCAGACCCGUAAAGGGCGCAUGGAAUCGCGGCAGGAGCCCGGCAGCUGCGGCGGAGCCCAGUAGGGUGGACGUGCUGCUGGGCCACACAGAUGUGGAACAGCCAGCCCUUUUGCAAGGCUCGCCCUUGGAAAGGCAAAUGGGCAUUGCAGCCAGCACCACGCAAACCUUGAUGAGAACGUGCUGACAGGAGUGAGAAGAGUAUAAAAACAAUAAACAUCGCUGCUGUUGGAAACGCUUUUAUUUUUGAGAAGAGUGUUUCCCAAAGGUGUUCAAAGCCUGCAUUCCCUUGUCCCCUUUUUGAGCAGCAUGCUCCAGCUUGAAUCCCUGUCUCAAGUAUGCAGUGCCCUGACCUCUUUCAUGCUUUCUCCUGGGCUCUGGGAUUAGCAGUAUCUCACAGAAUUAGAAAUAAGAUGGAGAAGGCACCUCGUGACUGGCCAGGACCAGGUUGAUACGGUACCAGAGAAAAGAUCAUCAACAGGUUCUUCUGCAGCAGUUCUAGUGCCUUCCAUUUACUCCAAGAUCUAAUAAAUUUCACUCACGUUCCCAUGGAAUAUUGCUGGAACACUUGUGAAGAGAGCUAAAAUAAAGCAAAGCCAGCAGUAUCUGGUAGAACAAAGCUCACCAGAAUUUGCUAGCUGUGUCAGGAAGCAAGAUGGAUGAUGCUGAAACAGGCAUGCUUUGCCCUGGGAUGCAUGAAGGCAGUUGGCUACCCAGUCUGCUGGGAACACUGGCUAAACACAGGUCCUCCCAGGCUAGAAAAAAACUGUCACCAGAGCUGGUUACAGCUCACGCCUGCAAAUGCAAAAGAGUUGUAUGGAGACAACAGCACACAGGAAGACUUGCUAGGCCAUGGAUUAAGAUGCCAAGUUUCAGAGAAGAUGGUUUGCACGAGGAAAUCUCAGAUCUCAAAAGCAGAGAUUGGGUGCUCUUCUAAGGACAACAGGUGGAGGGAUGAGAUUUGGGGAAAAAACCUAAACCCCCAAAACCUACUGUAGGAAAGGUUCCACCUCUGUGAAAACAGGAAGGAAGGAGGGUAAGGAAAGAAGUAUGAAGUAUAUCUAGUUUCAGAACUUUGCUGAAGAAAAAGAAGCACUCCUAAAAAUCACUCCUACAGGUGAAAUCAUAGGCGGUCUUAAAGGAUGGAAAGAUUUGUAGUGCGACCUGCAACUGUCGGAAAGCACGUGUGGUGAGAGGGUGUUAAUAAGCAGAUAUAAGGCAAGGUGGAGAUUUGGAAGUGUCCAGCUAGAGCUAUGGGUGAUGUUCAGGCAGGCAGUUCUUGAAAUGUCCUGAACUCCAUGGAGCAUGUUUAAAUCCAUGAGUCAGUGUGGUAUGUGCUACAGCUACUCAGCCCUGACCAGGAAGCUCUGAACUAUUUUUCUCCAUCUCCUAUAGACAGCUGGUGAUGAGGUAAACACGGUUAGUUCUCUCUGAUGAAACUUAAGCUCUUGGUGUACAGGUGCUUGGUAUGCAAUACCUGUCCCUCAAACAGCUGGGUGCAAACGUGGGGAAGGCUUUUCCUGCAGGUUCUCAGGUACCAAGCUCAGCUGAUGUUCCUGUACCGCAGCUGUAAAUGAAGCCUCUUCUGGCACUCCCAGGGCGAUUUGGGAGUUUGCUGGGCAUGUCCUGCCCCUGGCACCACUCCGACAUUCACAGCAUUGAUCUCCAACAUACCACCUCUCCAAGUGCUUAAAGCAUGGCAGCUCACAGGGUGUUCAGAGGCCUCUUUGAUGCAUUCAUUUAGCUACAUGUGCCACUAAAGUUCUGUGCCACCAACCAGGAAUCCACCCUCCCUGCCGUGGUCUUCCCCGCACAGACCAGCCUUGCUGGUGGUUUGGGCCUGCUCCUCCCUUCCCCAGCACUCCCCACCGAGCUCCUUGCUCUGACAGAUUCUCCCUUGGCAACAAUCGCUUCUGCUGGGCUGCUCCCAGGCUGUGGUCAUGGCUGCGGGCGUGUGAAGUGUUCUGCCCACCUGAGUCAGGAACGCCCGGCAGCUCCACUCUCAGUGUAACAAAGAGUGAGUCACCAUCGGCUGAACUGUACC
Molecule: long non-coding RNA, 2299 nt
Organism: Neopsephotus bourkii (Bourke's parrot)
Lineage: Eukaryota; Metazoa; Chordata; Aves; Psittaciformes; Psittacidae
Exons: 5
Source: RefSeq, a predicted model, not a curated record